Molecule: ribosomal RNA, 1531 nt
Filed under: Lactiplantibacillus argentoratensis
Lineage: Bacteria; Bacillati; Bacillota; Bacilli; Lactobacillales; Lactobacillaceae
Description: partial 16S ribosomal RNA
Rfam family: Bacterial small subunit ribosomal RNA
Source: RNAcentral
GAGUUUGAUCCUGGCUCAGGACGAACGCUGGCGGCGUGCCUAAUACAUGCAAGUCGAACGAACUCUGGUAUUGAUUGGUGCUUGCAUCAUGAUUUACAUUUGAGUGAGUGGCGAACUGGUGAGUAACACGUGGGAAACCUGCCCAGAAGCGGGGGAUAACACCUGGAAACAGAUGCUAAUACCGCAUAACAACUUGGACCGCAUGGUCCGAGCUUGAAAGAUGGCUUCGGCUAUCACUUUUGGAUGGUCCCGCGGCGUAUUAGCUAGAUGGUGGGGUAACGGCUCACCAUGGCAAUGAUACGUAGCCGACCUGAGAGGGUAAUCGGCCACAUUGGGACUGAGACACGGCCCAAACUCCUACGGGAGGCAGCAGUAGGGAAUCUUCCACAAUGGACGAAAGUCUGAUGGAGCAACGCCGCGUGAGUGAAGAAGGGUUUCGGCUCGUAAAACUCUGUUGUUAAAGAAGAACAUAUCUGAGAGUAACUGUUCAGGUAUUGACGGUAUUUAACCAGAAAGCCACGGCUAACUACGUGCCAGCAGCCGCGGUAAUACGUAGGUGGCAGGCGUUGUCCGGAUUUAUUGGGCGUAAAGCGAGCGCAGGCGGUUUUUUAAGUCUGAUGUGAAAGCCUUCGGCUCAACCGAAGAAGUGCAUCGGAAACUGGGAAACUUGAGUGCAGAAGAGGACAGUGGAACUCCAUGUGUAGCGGUGAAAUGCGUAGAUAUAUGGAAGAACACCAGUGGCGAAGGCGGCUGUCUGGUCUGUAACUGACGCUGAGGCUCGAAAGUAUGGGUAGCAAACAGGAUUAGAUACCCUGGUAGUCCAUACCGUAAACGAUGAAUGCUAAGUGUUGGAGGGUUUCCGCCCUUCAGUGCUGCAGCUAACGCAUUAAGCAUUCCGCCUGGGGAGUACGGCCGCAAGGCUGAAACUCAAAGGAAUUGACGGGGGCCCGCACAAGCGGUGGAGCAUGUGGUUUAAUUCGAAGCUACGCGAAGAACCUUACCAGGUCUUGACAUACUAUGCAAAUCUAAGAGAUUAGACGUUCCCUUCGGGGACAUGGAUACAGGUGGUGCAUGGUUGUCGUCAGCUCGUGUCGUGAGAUGUUGGGUUAAGUCCCGCAACGAGCGCAACCCUUAUUAUCAGUUGCCAGCAUUAAGUUGGGCACUCUGGUGAGACUGCCGGUGACAAACCGGAGGAAGGUGGGGAUGACGUCAAAUCAUCAUGCCCCUUAUGACCUGGGCUACACACGUGCUACAAUGGAUGGUACAACGAGUUGCGAACUCGCGAGAGUAAGCUAAUCUCUUAAAGCCAUUCUCAGUUCGGAUUGUAGGCUGCAACUCGCCUACAUGAAGUCGGAAUCGCUAGUAAUCGCGGAUCAGCAUGCCGCGGUGAAUACGUUCCCGGGCCUUGUACACACCGCCCGUCACACCAUGAGAGUUUGUAACACCCAAAGUCGGUGGGGUAACCUUUUAGGAACCAGCCGCCUAAGGUGGGACAGAUGAUUAGGGUGAAGUCGUAACAAGGUAGCCGUAG